GUGCCAGCAGCCGCGGUAAUACGAGGGGUGCAAGCGUUGCUCGGAAUUAUUGGGCGUAAAGGGGAGGUAGGUGGUCUCAUUUGUCUCAUGUGAAAGCCUUGGGCUUAACUCAAGAAGUGCGUGAGAAACGGUGAGACUAGAGUCCUGGAGAGGGUCGUGGAAUUCCCGGUGUAGCGGUGAAAUGCGUAGAGAUCGGGAGGAACACCAGAGGCGAAGGCGGCGACCUGGACAGGUACUGACACUCAACUCCGAAAGCGUGGGGAGCAAACAGGAUUAGAUACCCCGGUAGUCC
RNAcentral lists this ribosomal RNA (292 nucleotides) under uncultured bacterium. RNAcentral's name for it is "partial 16S ribosomal RNA". It matches the Rfam family "Bacterial small subunit ribosomal RNA", at positions 505 to 796 of the family's 1533-position model. The record is from RNAcentral.